CGGCAAGGAUAUUUACGGAAAAACCUACUCAUCUCUGCUUUUGUUUCUACUGAAGAUUUCAGCUACAUCUCUGGCUUCUGGAAGAUGACUUUUGGAUCCCAACAGGUUUGGCUGAUGACCCCUGGGCUUCCAGAAAUCACAUGUACUAGUCAGUGUACAGUAGAGUGAUUCAACACCUCCAGACAUCGCCCAGUGUUCAUCCUGACAAGGGACUCGUGAAUCCAUCACUUACUUUACCUCGCCCCCCAACCGCCUCCCCGCUGGUAACCCUCAGUUUGUUCUCGACAGUUAAGAGUCGUUUGCUUGGUUUGUGUGUCUCUCUCCCUUUUUUCCUCAACUCAUUUGUUUCUUAAAUUCCACAUGAGUGAAAUCGUAUAUUUGUCUUUCUGUGACUUAUUUCGCUUAGCAUUAUACUGCCCAGUUCCAU
RNAcentral lists this long non-coding RNA (427 nucleotides) under Mustela putorius furo (domestic ferret). Its description in RNAcentral is "lncRNA (ENSMPUG00000027995.1)". The record is from RNAcentral. Lineage: Eukaryota; Metazoa; Chordata; Mammalia; Carnivora; Mustelidae.